GAAAGUAAAAAAGGGCGCAUGGCGGAUGCCUUGGCUCUCGGAGGCGAUGAAGGACGUGAUAAGCUGCGAUAAGCUUUGGGGAGGUGCAAAUGACCUUUGAUCCAGAGAUUUCCGAAUGGGACAACCCAAUAUCUUGAAGAGGUAUUAUCCAACGUUGUUGGAGGCUAACGCAGGGAACUGAAACAUCUUAGUACCUGCAGGAAAAGAAAAUAAACAAUGAUUCCCCCAGUAGUGGCGAGCGAACGGGGAACAGCCCAAACCAUCCAUGUUACGGCAUGGGUGGGGUUGUAGGACUACGCCGUUGCAUGAAGACAUCAGAGAAGAACUUUCUGGAAAGAAAGACCAUAGAGCAUGACAGUUGCGUAUUCGAAUGUUGUCGAAGCAUAGUAGUAUCCUGAGUAGCGCGGAGCACGAGGAAUUCUGCGUGAAUCUGCCGGGACCAUCCGGUAAGGCUAAAUACUCCCGAGAGACCGAUAGCGAACCAGUACCGUGAGGGAAAGGUGAAAAGCACUUCGAACAGAAGAGUGAAAUAGUUCCUGAAACCGUGCGCCUACAAGCGGUCGGAGCUCGUUGAUGAGUGACGGCGUGCCUUUUGCAUAAUGAACCUACGAGUUGCCUUUGCCGGCAAGGUUAAGUGUGACGACACACGUAUCCGAAGCGAAAGCGAGUCUGAAGAGGGCGUAUAGUCGGCAGUGGCAGACGCGAAACCAAGUGAUCUACCCUUGGCCAGGUUGAAGGCUGGGUAACACCAGCUGGAGGACCGCACCAAUAAGCGUUGAAAAGCUUCUGGAUGAGCUGAGGGUAGGGGUGAAAGGCUAAUCAAACUUGGAGAUAGCUCGUACUCCCCGAAAUGCAUUUAGGUGCAGCCUUGCGGGUUACUGAUGUGAGGUAGAGCGACUGAUAAGAUGCGAGGGCUUCACCGCCUAUCAAGUCUUGACAAACUCCGAAUGCGCAUCAGUUCUACCGCAGGAGUGAGGGCAUGGGUGCUAAGGUCCGUGCCCGAGAGGAGAAGAAUCCGGACCACCUGCUAAGGUCCCGAAAUGACAGCUAAGUUAAACUAACGAAGUCUGACUGCUAAGACAGCUAGGAUGUUGGCUUGGAAGCAGCCAUUCAUUUAAAGAGUGCGUAACAGCUCACUAGUCGAGGAGUCGGGCGUGGAUAAUAAUCGGGUAUGAAGUUGUCUACCGAAGCAGUGGGAUCAUUUAUAUGAUCGGUAGGGGAGCAUUCCAGUCGGCGUCGAAGGCGUACCGUGAGGUAUUCUGGAGCGUCUGGAAAAGCAAAUGUAGGUAUAAGUAACGAUAAAGGGGGCGGGAAACCCCCUCGCCGAAAGACUAAGGUUUCCUGAUCAACGCUAAUCGGAUCAGGGUCAGUCGGGUCCUAAGGCUCAGCCGAACGGCGAUGCCGAUGGCAGAAACGGUUAAUAUUCCGUUACUACCUUCAGGAGUGACGUGGAGACGCAGUAGUGACAGUGCCGCCAUCUGACGGAAUAGAUGGUUGAAGGGUGUAGGAGUCGAUCAUGGCAGGCAAAUCCACCAUGAGAUCCGAACCUGAUAGUAUGCCGCGUCCUUCGGGACAAGGCAAUAGUGCGCGUAAGCAUGCUGCCGAGAAAAUCCGCUAAACUUAAUCCUGCAGGUACCCGUACCGCAAACGGACACACGUAGUCGGGAUGAAUAUUCUAAGGCGCUUGAGUGAUUCACGGUUAAGGAACUAGGCAAACUGACCCUGUAACUUCGGGAUAAAGGGUCCCUACCCUUUUAUGGGAGGGCGCAGAGAAUCGGUCCAGGCAACUGUUUAACAAAAACACAGGGCUGUGCCAAAUCGAAAGAUCCAGUAUACAGCCUGACACCUGCCCGGUGCUGGAAGGUUAAGAGGAGAUGUCAUCGAUAAGAGAAGCGUUGAAUUGAAGCCCCAGUAAACGGCGGCCGUAACUAUAACGGUCCUAAGGUAGCGAAAUUCCUUGUCGGGUAAGUUCCGACCUGCACGAAUGGUGUAAUGAUCUGGACGCUGUCUCAACCGUGAGCUCAGUGAAAUUGUAGUAUCGGUGAAGAUGCCGAUUACCCGCGAUGGGACGAAAAGACCCCGUGAACCUUUACUAUAGCUUA
This 2102-nucleotide ribosomal RNA is filed under the name metagenome. RNAcentral describes it as "bacterial LSU rRNA". It matches the Rfam family "Bacterial large subunit ribosomal RNA", at positions 1 to 2113 of the family's 2925-position model. The record is from RNAcentral.